RNAcentral lists this microRNA (22 nucleotides) under Equus caballus (horse). RNAcentral describes it as "eca-miR-9080". The record is from miRBase by way of RNAcentral. Lineage: Eukaryota; Metazoa; Chordata; Mammalia; Perissodactyla; Equidae.
AUCCGAGGUUGGUUGAAUCUGU